Molecule: ribosomal RNA, 292 nt
Filed under: uncultured bacterium
Lineage: Bacteria
Description: partial 16S ribosomal RNA
Rfam family: Bacterial small subunit ribosomal RNA
Source: RNAcentral
GUGUCAGCCGCCGCGGUAAUACGGAGGGUGCAAGCGUUAUCCGGAUUUACUGGGUUUAAAGGGUGCGCAGGCGGAUAUGUAAGUCAGUGGUGAAAUCUUUGGGCUUAACCCGAAAAUUGCCAUUGAUACUAUAUAUCUUGAAUGCUGUGGAGGUAAGCGGAAUAUGUCAUGUAGCGGUGAAAUGCUUAGAGAUGACAUAGAACACCUAUUGCGAAGGCAGCUUACUACGCAGAUAUUGACGCUCAUGCACGAAAGCGUGGGGAUCAAACAGGAUUAGAUACCCUCGUAGUCC